Molecule: ribosomal RNA, 440 nt
Filed under: uncultured bacterium
Lineage: Bacteria
Description: partial 16S ribosomal RNA
Rfam family: Bacterial small subunit ribosomal RNA
Source: RNAcentral
CCUACGGGAGGCAGCAGUGGGGGAUAUUGCACAAUGGGGGAAACCCUGAUGCAGCGACGCCGCGUGUGGGAAGACGGUCCUCUGGAUUGUAAACCACUGUCCCCAGGGACGAAAAUGACGGUACCUGGGAAGGAAGCUCCGGCUAACUACGUGCCAGCAGCCGCGGUAAUACGUAGGGAGCGAGCGUUGUCCGGAAUUACUGGGUGUAAAGGGUGCGCAGGCGGAAGAUCAAGUCAGCGGUAAAAUUGAGAGGCUCAACCUCUUCGAGCCGUUGAAACUGGUUUUCUUGAGUGAGUGAGAAGUAUGCGGAAUGCGUGGUGUAGCGGUGAAAUGCAUAGAUAUCACGCAGAACUCCGAUUGCGAAGGCAGCAUACCGGCGCUCAACUGACGCUCAUGCACGAAAGUGUGGGUAUCGAACAGGAUUAGAUACCCGGGUAGUC